AGCGAACGUUAGCGGCGCGCCUAACACAUGCAAGUCGCACGAGAAAGGGGGCAACCCCCGGUACAGUGGCGCACGGGUGAGUAACACGUGGAUUACCUGCCCUGGAGUGGUGGAUAACCUGCCGAAAGGUGGGCUAAUACAGCAUGAGACCACGAGGUUUCGACCUCGCGGUCAAAGCAGGCCUCUAUUCAUAAGCUUGCGCUCCGGGAUGGGUCCGCGGCCCAUCAGCAGUUGGUAGGUAACGGCCUACCAAGGCGACGACGGGUAGCUGGUCUGAGAGGAUGAUCAGCCACACUGGAACUGAGACACGGUCCAGACUCCUACGGGAGGCAGCAGUGGGAAUCUUGCGCAAUGGGCGAAAGCCUGACGCAGCGACG
This 377-nucleotide ribosomal RNA is filed under the name uncultured bacterium. RNAcentral's name for it is "bacterial SSU rRNA". It matches the Rfam family "Bacterial small subunit ribosomal RNA", at positions 29 to 396 of the family's 1533-position model. The record is from RNAcentral.